RNAcentral lists this non-coding RNA (837 nucleotides) under Drosophila ananassae. Its description in RNAcentral is "Eukaryotic large subunit ribosomal RNA". It matches the Rfam family "Eukaryotic large subunit ribosomal RNA", at positions 1 to 691 of the family's 3401-position model. Lineage: Eukaryota; Metazoa; Arthropoda; Insecta; Diptera; Drosophilidae. The record is from Rfam by way of RNAcentral.
CAACCUCAACUCAUAUGGGACUACCCCCUGAAUUUAAGCAUAUUAAUUAGGGGAGGAAAAGAAACUAACAAGGAUUUUCUUAGUAGCGGCGAGCGAAAAGAAAUCAGUUCAGCACUAAGUCACUUUGUCUAUAUGGCAAAUGUGAGAUGCAGUGUAUGGAGCGUCAAUAUUCUAGUAUGAGAAAUUAACGAUUUAAGUCCUUCUUAAAUGAGGCCAUUUACCCAUAGAGGGUGCCAGGCCCGUAUAACGUUAAUGAUUACUAGAUGAUGUUUCCAAAGAGUCGUGUUGCUUGAUAGUGCAGCACUAAGUGGGUGGUAAACUCCAUCUAAAACUAAAUAUAACCAUGAGACCGAUAGUAAACAAGUACCGUGAGGGAAAGUUGAAAAGAACUCUGAAUAGAGAGUUAAAUAGUACGUGAAACUGCUUAGAGGUUAAGCCCGAUGAACCUGAAUAUCCGUUAUGGAAAAUCAUCAUUAAAGUUAUAAUAUUUAAACAUAUUAUACAAAUAAUGUGCAUUUUUUCCCAUAUAAGACAUUGUAAUCUAUUAACAUAUUAAAUUUAUCAUAAAAUAUGGCUUAUAGUUUAUUCAAAUUUAUAUGGCUUGAUUUUAACCUUAAAAUUAAUUGGUCUUAAUUUGGAUAAAGUGGUGAAAGAACAAUUAAGAAUUAAAUGGCCGUAAAUUUUUUCGGAAUUAUAAAAAUGGCAUAAUUUAUCAAUGGAUUUUUUGUGUUUUUUAAAACCCCUUUGUUUAAAUUAAAAAGGGGAAAAAAAUUCAGGAACCCUUUGGGGACACCUUUUUGGAAACACGGACCCAGGGAGUUAAAAAAAUUGGGGAAA